AUGGCGGCAACCACAGCCGCAUGCACAGGCGUCUGGCUCCGGCGGAUGCUUUGUGAUCUAUUGGGAGAUCCAGGGAGUGCAACACCACUGCUCAUCGACAACAAGUCAGCAAUCCAACUUUGCAAGAAUCCAGUCUUCCAUGACGGAACCAAGCACAUCGAGACGCGGUUUCACUUCAUCCGUGAGUGUGUUCAAGAUGGAAGGAUCGUCGUCGACUACAUCCACACCGGCGAGCAACUGGCUGACAUCAUGACCAAGGCUCUGCCACGGGUGAAGUUCCAGGAGCUGCGAGAGAAGUUGGGCAUGAUCGACAUCAGCAGCUGA
This 324-nucleotide ribosomal RNA is filed under the name Triticum aestivum (bread wheat). Its description in RNAcentral is "partial small subunit ribosomal RNA". The record is from RNAcentral. Lineage: Eukaryota; Viridiplantae; Streptophyta; Magnoliopsida; Poales; Poaceae.